UACGUAGGGUGCAAGCGUUAAUCGGAAUUACUGGGCGUAAAGCGUGCGCAGGCGGUUUUGUAAGUCUGUCGUGAAAUCCCCGGGCUCAACCUGGGAACUGCAUUUGUGACUGCAUAGCUGGAGUGCGGCAGAGGGGGAUGGAAUUCCGCGUGUAGCAGUGAAAUGCGUAGAUAUGCGGAGGAACACCGAUGGCGAAGGCAAUCCCCUGGGCCUGCACUGACGCUCAUGCACGAAAGCGUGGGGAGCAAACAGG
RNAcentral lists this ribosomal RNA (253 nucleotides) under uncultured bacterium. Its description in RNAcentral is "partial 16S ribosomal RNA". It matches the Rfam family "Bacterial small subunit ribosomal RNA", at positions 524 to 776 of the family's 1533-position model. The record is from RNAcentral.